RNAcentral lists this long non-coding RNA (813 nucleotides) under Homo sapiens (human). RNAcentral describes it as "HSALNT0157206". The record is from RNAcentral. Lineage: Eukaryota; Metazoa; Chordata; Mammalia; Primates; Hominidae.
UUUUUGUAGGACUGGGAAACAGAAAAUCAUGACUGGUAUUGUUUUGAAUGCCAUUUGCCUGGAGAGGUGUUGAUAUGUGACCUGUGUUUUCGUGUGUAUCAUUCCAAGUGUUUGUCUGAUGAGUUCAGGCUUAGAGACAGCAGUAGUCCCUGGCAGUGCCCAGUUUGCAGGAGCAUUAAGAAGAAGAAUACAAACAAACAGGAGAUGGGCACAUACCUCAGAUUCAUUGUCUCCCGCAUGAAGGAGAGGGUGAGUCCUGCUCAGGGAAUCUUUCAAAAUAUCCCAAAACACAUUUUACUAUGGUUCAUUCUUUCAAAGUUGAAUGAUCGAGAAGUAACAAAUAUGUACAUAGCAAUAUGAAGUGUGGAGAGCACCCCGUCAUGUCAUAUUUCUUUUUUGCAGUAAACAGUUCUAUAACAGGCAGUUAGAUUUUCUUGUUUUGUCUGUUUUGGACAUAGACAUUUUGACAUAAGCUACAUGAGAUUAGAAACAUUUACAUUUUUGAAUUUCAUUCAUCAGAAUGAACAUUUUCAUUGAUGAUGACUCUUUAAAAUGAAAGGCAAUUUUUCAAAAUAACUAUUCUAUCACAACUUUAAGGAAUGUCAUAUUAAACUAUAUAGUAGUAUAUGUACAUUUUUUCUGUUAAGUUUUAAAGUACUUCCUCUGAGAUUUUGCUUUAAAGGUAGAAAAUAUUGGCCGGGCGCCGUGGCUCCCGCCUGUAAUCCCAGCACUUUGGGAGGCCAAGGCAGGAGGAUUGCUUGAGCCCAGGAGUUCAAGACCAGCCUGGGCAAGAUGGCAAGACCCUGUCUCUAC